GGGAUACAUGGUCUGCAACAAUCUCUAGGCAGGUGGUGGUAUGUGUCAAAGUAAGAUUCACAUAAUUGUCAGGUCCCAAGGUUUCCCAGGAGCACAUUGCCCGGAGCAUAACUCUGCCUCCAUCAGCCUGCCUUCUUCCCAUAGUGCAUCCUGCGACCAUCUCUUCCCCAGGUAAAUGAUACCCACUAACCACUGCAUACCGUGUACACCCCACAAAACAUGCCAUUUUGGAAAUGCUCUGACCCAGUCGUCUAGCCAUCAGUAUUUGACAAAGUCACUCAGAUCUUUUCACUUGCCCAUUUUUUUCCUGCUCCCAACACAUGGAAUUCAGGUCCUGACUGUUCACUUGUUGCCUAAUAUAUCACACCCCUUGACAGGUACCACUGUAACGAUCUAUUCAAUGUUAUUCACUU
Pelobates cultripes (western spadefoot toad) is the source of this 413-nucleotide non-coding RNA. Lineage: Eukaryota; Metazoa; Chordata; Amphibia; Anura; Pelobatidae. The record is from the annotation of a GenBank genome assembly.